ACUGCUUCCAGGAGACCAGAUCAUCCGGAUCGGUGAACACAGCAGAAUCAGGAAGGAAAACGAACACCAUCCAGGCGUCCACAAUGUUAGGAGUCAUUCCUUGCACCAUUCUGCAAUUACAGCGCUCCAUCCAAAUUCUCGCUGCCAAAGCACCAAAUUUCCCCACUUCAAACAGUUUCCUAGACUAAAUUCACCGAUGCAUGAAAGGGUAGCAGGUCAGAUGUUAAACCGUCACAUGAACAAGUUUCUGCAACAGGGGUUGGCCUGUUUGCCCAUCACGAUCCAUUUUCCUCCGGGCCCUGCCAACAGGUGACAAACUUAGCCGCCUCCGAUACUACUAAUCUUUUUGUUAUGCACAAUAACUCUCAUCUAGCCUGUAUAAAUACACAAGAACAAUGGCUUGUACAGUUCCGCAAUUUGCGCAGAGAAUACAAACUGCCGCAUCCCAGAUCAGUCACAGCCUCGGCCCUCAGGUCACUGAAAGUAAUUCAUCAUUGAGCCUGGGGAUCUACACCAAUAGCACCGAACCUUGCACCAGCACCAAUCCCAGCAUUGGGUGGCUGUGCCACCACAACAUUGUCAUCAGCAAAUAGCGCCUUAAUGAAGGACGGUGUCUUUAGGGGGCGACGCCCAGUCAUACGUGGGUAUACAUCUUCCAGGAAGUAGUACACAUGUCCAGCAAUCAUACCCUGAAACAAUGUGACAUCAGUUAAGAUAAGAGAUAUAUCACUCAUUCCUCCAAGAGAACGAUCAAGGUGACAAUAAGAAUGCUAUACGGGCAAACUACAAGCUAUGUCAAUUCAAUCACGCAUAUGGCAUAUGUGAGUCAACUGAACUUUCUAAUCUAGUAUUCUAGUGAGAGUGACAAGUA
This 871-nucleotide unclassified non-coding RNA is filed under the name Zea mays. Its description in RNAcentral is "misc RNA Zm00001eb064720". The record is from RNAcentral. Lineage: Eukaryota; Viridiplantae; Streptophyta; Magnoliopsida; Poales; Poaceae.